CUUCUACAGCUCCUUUUCAGUUAACGGAAAUGCUACAGAAUUUAUCUUCUAUGAAGUAUAUUGUUGUUUUUUCAAAACAAAGAAGGGAAAGUAAAUUAGUUCAUCGACUAAACUGUUAAUUUCCUCUAUAUAAAUUAAAUUGACAAUGUACAGCUAGCACAAUGCUAGUUUAGAAAUAAACAACAACGUGCAAAGACACAGUAUCCAUUCCUUUAUUAUGGACAGGAUCCAUAAGUUCAAACGUGCACGUUUCAAAUGCCAUUAAAACGUCUUCAUCGGAUGUGAUGGUUAUAAAAUCGCCAUCCUCAUCAACAUACUUCAGUCUAACCCGAAAAGGAACAGCUUGUUUCAAAAUCCCACAAAGCUUUAUUUUAUGUUCUACCUUGGCUAACAGCUCAUCAAAUGUUAUAUCAUGAGCAACAACCAGGACGAGACUAACCUCAUGUAAACGGAGACGAAUUUUAACAUUCGUGGUAUUUCGAACUGAUAGGGAGGUAGACGUGGAACUCGAGCUUAACGAAGUAUGUUUAGUAGAAGGGAGCAAACUACCAUCUGAUUUCAUACCCGCUGAAUAUGAAUAUUGACGAGGUCUCAUUACGUCGCAAUCAUUAGUAGUAGGUUGAUCAAAAAUUUUUUGUUUCGUUGAUGAAGAUGUAUCUUCAAAAAUGCUGACUGAAGACCCAUCAUCAGUACCUGAAUACACCCUAGUUAUAUGACUUUGACGAUUGUAGUUAUAGUCGUUCAAUAGCGAAUUGACCUGGCUGAUACGAGAGAUUUGGCUAGGAAUAGAUGCAGUCGAUGAAGAAUCGUUACUAACUAUAGUUGAUGUUGUUUGCGAAGUACGAAGGCUACUGGUACCCACUGAUUCUUCGCUGUUUAAACGAAUGAAAUCCGAUGGCCUUUCAUCAGUUGUGGUGGCAGACUUUGUAUCCUUAGAAGUAGUUUUCGUGAACGGACUAGAUUUGGAAGAGGGACUGGAAAUGCUUGUAGGAGAAUUAACAUUUUCGUCAAGAGAAUGUGUACGUAAAAGAUCAUAGUCGGAGGAGUUGUAACCCUUUGAAGUCUGAGAAGAAGAACGAUUGUAGACAGGGUUAGCAGGGGUCGAAGCAGCACUACGAAUAUCCUUUGGAGAUCCGUGCUCGUUUUUCCAUAAAAGUCGAUUAAGAACGGACAUCCAUAGUUUAUGACUUUCUUCAUUACGUAACUUAAGAAUAAAAGAUUCAUGUUGAGGAUCACCACGCCAAAAUAUUUGAAUAGCAUAUGAGCCCAUGUGAUGGUUGGGAACCACAGUAGUGAUGUUGGAUGUCAGAAUUCUUCCCUUCAGUUGAAGACUAUCAAGACGUUUAGUUUUCUUGUUCAUACUUAUACUUCGGGCUUGCCGUUUCAGAGUUGACAUUUCUUUACAACAUAACAAAAUUUUUUCAAAAAGGUAAACGUGAUACUCUCUUUCUAUAUCGGCUUUGCAUACAUUAACAACAUCCCAAACUAGCAGUUGUCCAAAGUAUUGAAGAGAGUAUCCUUUCCAAUCAAUCACACGUUGUUCAAGCUCAAUAAUGGCAUUUCGGUUUUCAUGAAUACGACGAGUCUCAUUAACUUGGUUUGCUACACGAACUACACAAGCCAUUCCUUGUUUUAGUUCCUCUUCGUACUGAUAACCUGAGGGAGUACCUUUUAGUAAUUGAUUCAAGAGAAGCGGAUAUUUACAUAUACGCUGUAUAGGCUUAAUCAGCAGAGCUGGUAAUUCAUAAGAGGGCUCAAGCAGGUUCGCAACUUUCAGUAACUGAUUUUGAUUAUCAAUGAUCAGUUGUUGAGCAUUCGGAAAAUUUGUACAAAACACUUGGUAAACAGAAAAUCCCUCUUCUAAGGCAAUGAAGAGUGCGCCUAGUCGUUGUUCUUCUACAGGAAGCGAAAGAUUCAUCUCUAAACCAACCAAAAAACGUCUUUGAAAGUCUAAAAUCUCGUUUAAAUUCGUAAAUAUACUGAGAAUAGUGUCCUGGGAUAGAAUUUGUUUUUGUUGAAGUAUGACCAUAUAGUUGGACAAAUAUUCUAAAUCUUGAAUGUAUUUUAAUUCGGUUUCAUAUAAUUCGGCAGUGACUCUACGGCCAGAUGCAAUCAAGCUGUUAAGAGUUCCUGUUGGUACAUUAUCAUCAGUAGAAGGACUAGGAGUAGAAGAUGAUUUUGUGGUAUUGGAAACUUCAUACUUUUUCAAUAAAAGUUCAAUGGUUUGAAGAGCUCUAACAAGUGGAGCUGUCGAGGGUUUAUAAAUUUCUGAUAUGGAAAAAAGGGCGGCGUCUGUGAGUCCAAGUUCAUUUUUACACAUGAGCAUGAAACGAUAUAAACUAGCUUUACACACGUUCGUAUUUUCCAAAGAAACCGAACUAUUAACUUCCAAUUUUUGCUUAACUGGCAAGCAAUUGAACAGGGCACACAAUGGAUAACCUAAACGACAAAACAGCCAAAUUUCCGUAACUGGAUCAUCAAAUUCAAUGUCCUUAAAUUCCAGUAUUUUGAAAGAGCUAUUCAAGGCUUCACGAUGAAUACUGUCAAAGAAAGCAGCCAACUCUGAUAUAUCCAUCAAUCGCUUCCGGAGAUUUAGACAUCGUCUGUAUAAUGAAACCGUAUUUUCUAAAUUAUAAAUAACUUGUGACGGAGACUGUAAAAGCCUAAGUUUCAUGUAUUCUGACAGAUUAGUCUCAUCUUUACGAGGACCUACAAGGUUUUGGGUGCUGUGAUUGAUGUAAGAAGGAAGAGACCUAGAGGAUGCUUUUAGAAGUUAGUUAGUUAAUUGCAUACACAUAAAUGGCGUUUUUGUGUUCUAAAUUUCUUUCAAUCGUUACAUACUUUUGCGAUCCUGAAAGUAGGCCAUAACUGAUAACUUCUUCUCGAGACUCCUUCCUAAUGCAGUAAAAUACAGAA
Molecule: long non-coding RNA, 2916 nt
Filed under: Schizosaccharomyces pombe (fission yeast)
Lineage: Eukaryota; Fungi; Ascomycota; Schizosaccharomycetes; Schizosaccharomycetales; Schizosaccharomycetaceae
Source: RNAcentral